Populus trichocarpa (black cottonwood) is the source of this 1494-nucleotide RNA transcript. RefSeq lists it as uncharacterized. NCBI's taxonomy places the organism in Eukaryota, Viridiplantae, Streptophyta, Magnoliopsida, Malpighiales, Salicaceae. The transcript is spliced from 5 exons. The record is from RefSeq and is a predicted model, not a curated record.
UGGUGUUUUGAGCUCCCUGUAACUGUGUAUCAACAAAGAAUGGCAGAAUCAACAGAGAAGCAAAGAGACAGUGAACCAAAACAGCAUGAAGAAGCAGAUGGAGACGAUUACAUGGGAGACCUGUCUCAGUUUCUUCCUCCUGAAACAACAAACCCUUCAAAAUCCUCUGCCAAAAAGACCGUCAACAAGGAAACACCAACUUUUCAAUCAUUCAAUAAGAAGUCCAAAAACAUUAGCUGGCAAGAACAACGAAGACUUGAAAGGGAGAAAAAGCAACAAGAGGAGGAUGAGCAAACCAUGGCAAGAAUAGAAGCUCCAAUUCCUCCAUCUAACAUUGGGUUUAAGUUGUUAAAGCAAAUGGGUUACACCCCUGGUUCAGCCCUUGGUAAGGAGGGUUCAGGAAGAGCUGAGCCAGUGGGGAUUCAGAUUCGGCGGACACGAGUAGGGAUUGGAAGAGAGGAACCGCAUAAGGAGAAGAGGAAGAGAGAAGAGAUUGAGGCAGAAAGGAACAGAAUGAAGGAGAGCGAGUUAAUGGAAGAGUUUGGGUCAAGGCAAAAGUCUCAAUGGCGAAGUCGGAGAGUUGUAGUAAAUUUUAUGAAAGCAAAAGCAGCUCUUGAUCAAUUGGAGAACAAAGAAGUUGUGGAACCAAAGAAGAAUGAAGAUGAAGAGGAUGGUGAACAGGAUGAGGAGGAAGAGGAAGAGAUAACAGAAGAGGAUUUGCAAGAACUGUUGAUGAAACUGAGAGAUGAAUAUCAAUACUGCCCGUUUUGUGGCUUUCAGUACGAAACAGUGGAAGCCCUCCAAUCCAACUGCCCUGGAAUAAACGAAGACGACCACUAGAUGUUGCUAGUGCAAGAGGCACUUAUGCAAACUUGUUCAAUAUCUGCAAGUUGCACUUUGCAUAUUGCUCUUGCACGUGAGCUUGCUCACAAUCGAGGACGCAAUUUCAGUGGUUGACAUGUCAUGUGGCAAGUGGUGAACAAGAUAACGGGAUAGUGUGUGUCCACUUUGCACGCGAUUGGGGGCUGGCCCUAUAUAAAGGUCACGUUGCAGACAUUGGUUGGCUGCCUUCCUCCUCUCCGACGAGGCAAAUUCCAAGGAGCUGGAUAUGCUUAGCCAUGGAUGAUCUCAAGAGUGGACUAAUAGAGACGUGGGAGGGACAUGGAUAUCCCUUGAGAAGCUUGUUGAGGUAGAGCUGUGCAAUUCGCUACCUUAGAGACUCAAAUAGGGUAGCCAUAUGCUAGCUAGGGAGGCCCAGUCCUCAACCAUGGAUAGACAGGGACUGGGUCCUUCGUUUGUGUUAUCCUCCUUAUUCUCCCUGUGGGUAAUUCAUUGUAAUUUUUUAACGGUUUAUUCUCUCACAAAUCACUAUAAAUUUAAUUAGUUAAUUUUUUUAAAAAAAUUAUUUUGAUUCUUGAAUUAUUAUUAUUAUUUUGGCACAAUUGAGCUCUUUUGAGCAUAAAUUAGUAUUUAAUUGCAUAUUUUUUAUUAGAA